UCGGACGGGUGAGUAACGCGUGAGAAUCUACCCUUAGGAUGGGGACAACAGUUGGAAACGACUGCUAAUACCCGAUGUGCCGAGAGGUAAAACUUAUAUGGCCUGAGGGAGAGCUCGCGUCUGAUUAGCUAGUUGGUAGUGUAAGGGACUACCAAGGCGACGAUCAGUAGCUGGUCUGAGAGGAUGAUCAGCCACACUGGGACUGAGACACGGCCCAGACUCCUACGGGAGGCAACAGUGGGGAAUUUUCCGCAAUGGGCGAAAGCCUGACGGAGCAAGACCGCGUGAGGGAGGAAGGCCUACUGGUUGUAAACCUCUUUUGAUAGGGAAGAACACAAUGACGGUACCUAUCGAAUCAGCCUCGGCUAACUCCGUGCCAGCAGCCGCGGUAAUACGGAGGGGGCAAGCGUUAUCCGGAAUUAUUGGGCGUAAAGCGUCCGUAGGUGGUUAUCCAAGUCAGUUGUUAAAGCGUAGAGCUUAACUCUAUAAGGGCAAUUGAAACUGGGUGGCUAGAGUGCGAUAGGGGCAAGGGGAAUUCCCAGUGUAGCGGUGAAAUGCGUAGAUAUUGGGAAGAACAUCGGUGGCGAAGGCGCCUUGCUGGGUCUGCACUGACACUGAGGGACGAAAGCUAGGGGAGCGAAAGGGAUUAGAUACCCCUGUAGUC
This 664-nucleotide ribosomal RNA is filed under the name uncultured cyanobacterium. RNAcentral's name for it is "bacterial SSU rRNA". It matches the Rfam family "Bacterial small subunit ribosomal RNA", at positions 98 to 795 of the family's 1533-position model. Lineage: Bacteria; Bacillati; Cyanobacteriota. The record is from RNAcentral.